CGCACAUUGCGCCCGCCAGCAUUCUGGCGGGCAUGCCUGUUCGAGCGUCAUUUCAACCCUCGACUUCCCUUUGGGGAAAUCGGCGUUGGGGAACGGCAGCAUACCGCCGGCCCCGAAAUGGAGUGGCGGCCCGUCCGCGGCGACCUCUGCGUAGUAAUCCAACUCGCACCGGAACCCCGACGUGGCCACGCCGUAAAACACCCAACUUCUGAACGUUGACCUCGGAUCAGGUAGGAAUACCCGCUGAACUUAA
This 253-nucleotide unclassified non-coding RNA is filed under the name Akanthomyces lecanii. RNAcentral's name for it is "partial contains 5.8S ribosomal RNA, internal transcribed spacer 2, and large subunit ribosomal RNA". Lineage: Eukaryota; Fungi; Ascomycota; Sordariomycetes; Hypocreales; Cordycipitaceae. The record is from RNAcentral.